RNAcentral lists this ribosomal RNA (409 nucleotides) under uncultured bacterium. RNAcentral describes it as "bacterial SSU rRNA". It matches the Rfam family "Archaeal small subunit ribosomal RNA", at positions 335 to 747 of the family's 1478-position model. The record is from RNAcentral.
GCAGGCGAGAAUACUCCACAAUGCGCGUAAGCGUGAUGGGGGGAAUCUGAGUGGUUCACUUUGUGAACCUUUUGCCAAGUAUAGCAAGCUUGGCGAAUAAGUGCUGGGCAAGACCGGUGGCAGCCGCCACGGUAAUACCGGCAGCACAAGUGGUGUCCACGAUUAUUGGGCUUAAAGCGCCCGUAGCCGGCCGAUGCCGUCUCGCGUGAAAUAUUGGCGCUUAACGUCAAUGCGUGCGCGAGAUACCCAUCGGCUAGGGAGCGGGUGAGGUCAGGAGUACUUAUGGGGGAGGGGUUAAAUCCUGUAAUCCUAUAAGGACUAACGGUGGCGAAGGCGCCUGACUAGAACGCAUCCGACGGUGAGGGGCGAAGGCUAGGAGAACGAAUCGGAUUAGAUACCCCCGUAGUCC